CGAGAUGUUAGUAAAAACAUUAUAUAACUUUGUCGAAGUUAAGUUACAAGUGAGAACCCUGUACAUCUCA
RNAcentral lists this transfer RNA (70 nucleotides) under Bubalus bubalis (water buffalo). RNAcentral's name for it is "tRNA-Asp". Lineage: Eukaryota; Metazoa; Chordata; Mammalia; Artiodactyla; Bovidae. The record is from RNAcentral.